GCCUGGGUGGCUCAGUCGGUUGAGUGUCCGACUUCGGCUCAGGUCAUGAUCUCACAGUUUGUGGGUUCAAGCCCUGCAUCAGGCU
This 85-nucleotide transfer RNA is filed under the name Felis catus (domestic cat). It matches the Rfam family "tRNA". From Rfam's summary of the family: Transfer RNA (tRNA) molecules are approximately 80 nucleotides in length. The record is from Rfam by way of RNAcentral. Lineage: Eukaryota; Metazoa; Chordata; Mammalia; Carnivora; Felidae. RNAcentral also lists the same sequence under 2 other names.